RNAcentral lists this ribosomal RNA (459 nucleotides) under uncultured bacterium. RNAcentral's name for it is "partial 16S ribosomal RNA". It matches the Rfam family "Bacterial small subunit ribosomal RNA", at positions 338 to 795 of the family's 1533-position model. The record is from RNAcentral.
CCUACGGGAGGCAGCAGUGAGGAAUAUUGGGCAAUGGGCGGAAGCCUGAACCAGCCAAGUAGCGUGCGGGAUGAAGGCCCUACGGGUCGUAAGCCGCUUUUGCACGGGGAUAACACCCUCCGCUUGUGGAGGUCUGCAGGUACCGUGCGAAUAAGCGCCGGCUAAUGCCGUGCCAGCAGCCGCGGUAAUACGGAAGGCCCGAGCGUUGUCCGGAUUCCUUGGGCGUAAGGGGGUGGUAGGCGGGCGUUCAAGUCAGCUGUAAAAUCGCGCGGCUCAACCGCGCCCCGCAGUUGAAACUGGACGCCUUGAGUUCACAACAGGCAGGCGGAAUUCGUGGUGUAGCGGUGAAAUGCAUAGAUAUCACGAGGAACCCCGAUUGCGAAGGCAGCCUGCCGGGGUGCGACUGACGCUGAGGCUCGAAGGUGCGGGUAUCAAACAGGAUUAGAUACCCCUGUAGUC